This 634-nucleotide long non-coding RNA is filed under the name Actinidia chinensis (golden kiwifruit). RNAcentral describes it as "long non-coding RNA (ACHI_LNC002871)". The record is from RNAcentral. Lineage: Eukaryota; Viridiplantae; Streptophyta; Magnoliopsida; Ericales; Actinidiaceae.
CCAAGGCCCCCAUUUGAACUUCCAGGCUUGGUUUUGCAAGUUCAACACCUGCCAACACAGAACAAAUCAUAGCAGCAAUAAAACAAACACUUGGUGUGUGAAACAUCAUUGCCUAAAUCACAGAAAAAAACUGGUUCUGAUAUUUUUGAUAAAAAUGAAGGAUUUAUAAGCACAACCCAAUUUCAUAUUCGUGAACCUCCACGCAUAUCAAGUCUUCAGAAGUGUCCAAAAGGGUCAACACCCAUCAAAGAAAUGAAGAAUCUAACAAAUAUAUCAACUCUUGACUAAGAGCAGAAAACCUAACUAGUGAAGAUAGCAAUUGACCACAUUCUUUGGAUAAAGGUGAUAGCAAUAGUGUUCAAUAUAUUAAAAUAAAUAAAAAAACCUAGGACUAUAAGAUCCAAAACCUGGCCACAUACACCUACCAUGUCAAAACCAAUCAAGUCUCAAUCAAUCCUAAUCUAUGCCAACACAGAACAAAUCAUAGCAGCAAUAAAACAAACACUUGGUGUGUGAAACAUCAUUGCCUAAAUAACAUAAAAAAACUGGUUCUGAUAUUUUUGACAAAAAUGAAGGAUUUAUAAGCACAACCCAAUAACAUAUUCGUGAACCUCCACGCAUAUCAAGUCUUAAG